GGCAGUUUGGCCGAGUGGUCUAAGGCGCUCGCCUGCUAAGCGAGUCCCUUCGGGGGCCAGAGUUCGAAUCUCUGAGCUGUCG
Penicillium polonicum is the source of this 82-nucleotide transfer RNA. It matches the Rfam family "tRNA". From Rfam's summary of the family: Transfer RNA (tRNA) molecules are approximately 80 nucleotides in length. Their secondary structure includes four short double-helical elements and three loops (D, anti-codon, and T loops). Further hydrogen bonds mediate the characteristic L-shaped molecular structure. tRNAs have two regions of fundamental functional importance: the anti-codon, which is responsible for specific mRNA codon recognition, and the 3' end, to which the tRNAs corresponding amino acid is attached (by aminoacyl-tRNA synthetases). tRNAs cope with the degeneracy of the genetic code in two manners: having more than one tRNA (with a specific anti-codon) for a particular amino acid; and 'wobble' base-pairing, i.e. permitting non-standard base-pairing at the 3rd anti-codon position. NCBI's taxonomy places the organism in Eukaryota, Fungi, Ascomycota, Eurotiomycetes, Eurotiales, Aspergillaceae. The record is from Rfam.